GACGAACGCUGGCGGCGUGCCUAAUACAUGCAAGUAGGACGCUGAAGGAGGAGCUUGCUUCUCUGGAUGAGUUGCGAACGGGUGAGUAACGCGUAGGUAACCUGCCUGGUAGCGGGGGAUAACUAUUUGAAACGAUAGCUAAUACCGCAUAAUAGUAGAUGUUGCAUGACAUUUGCUUAAAAGGUGCAAUUGCAUCACUACCAGAUGGACCUGCGUUGUAUUAGCUAGUUGGUGGGGUAACGGCUCACCAAGGCGACGAUACAUAGCCGACCUGAGAGGGUGAUCGGCCACACUGGGACUGAGACACGGCCCAGACUCCUACGGGAGGCAGCAGUAGGGAAUCUUCGGCAAUGGACGGAAGUCUGACCGAGCAACGCCGCGUGAGUGAAGAAGGUUUUCGGAUCGUAAAGCUCUGUUGUAAGAGAAGAACGAGUGUGAGAGUGGAAAGUUCACACUGUGACGGUAUCUUACCAGAAAGGGACGGCUAACUACGUG
RNAcentral lists this ribosomal RNA (495 nucleotides) under uncultured bacterium. RNAcentral describes it as "partial 16S ribosomal RNA". It matches the Rfam family "Bacterial small subunit ribosomal RNA", at positions 28 to 507 of the family's 1533-position model. The record is from RNAcentral.